Small nuclear RNA from Delphinapterus leucas (beluga whale), 127 nucleotides. Ensembl annotates it as U4atac minor spliceosomal RNA. Lineage: Eukaryota; Metazoa; Chordata; Mammalia; Artiodactyla; Monodontidae. The record is from Ensembl.
ACCAUCCUUUUCUUGGGGUUGCGCUACUGUCCGAUGAGCGUUUAGCGAGGGCAGUACUGCUAACGCCUAUGCAACACACUCGCACCUGGUGAAGCAACGGUUUUACCUCGGUGCAAUUUUUGGAAAA